This is an RNA transcript of Trifolium pratense (red clover), 1889 nucleotides long. RefSeq lists it as uncharacterized. The transcript has 7 exons. NCBI's taxonomy places the organism in Eukaryota, Viridiplantae, Streptophyta, Magnoliopsida, Fabales, Fabaceae. The record is from RefSeq and is a predicted model, not a curated record.
GAAUACAAGGACAAAUUCCGUCACAAAUCCCUCUAUUAAUUUUCAAGUAUUUUAAAGCUGUUUUUUGAAUAUAAAAACCAAUGAAAAUGACCAAACCCCUGAAUAUAUGGCUGAGUUUCAAAAUUCAAAUCUCUCGCGUGUUCAUUUCCUUUCCUAGAUUCAUCGAUCGUCCUCUUGCGUGUUCAUCUUCCUCCAACAACACUGUUUCACCGCUAAACCAAAACUCUUCGAUUGAGUUUCAACCACCGCCACAAAACGAAGAAGCGCCACCGCCAACUCCGCUUCUUCUCUCUGAUAAAACGACGUUUUUGAAGAGAAAGCGUAUCUUGUUGGUGUUGAGCAAUAGAUUCAUCUUCCUCUCGCGCCUCAGUCCCGGCAACGCUGCCACUGCUUCAAAUUCUCCAAGAAUUCCUUGUUUUCCUAAAAGCUUAUAAGAGGGACUUAAGGAAUACUGAAAGACGAUAUUCUACGCAUUUGGUUGCUGUGAUGUACAAUGUGACUCUGAAGAAAUUUGUGUCCUGUAGAUUGUGGACAAUGAUAUUGGGUUGAGAUUGCAGUGCAACUACUGAAGUUGUUAGAAUAGAACAAAAAUAUCAUAUUAUAUUGACAUCAUCUUGAACUAUCUAAUAGUAAUAGUAUAAGCUUUUUUCUCUAAGAGUAUCUCUUAAGAUCAAUUUUUCUAUUAGUAAUCCAAUUUUUUGGUUGAAUUCCAAUAUUAUGCUUGUUUUAAGCAUUCUGUUUAUUAAAAUUUCAGGCUGGUAGCAGUGUGUAUACUUACGGUUUACUUGGCUUUACUUUAUGAAAUACAUGUUUCAGAUUGGCACUUCAUUGUCCAUAAUCCAGACAGCAUGUAUAACGGCACAACUUUCACCAGGUGCUUGGAAUUAAUCAUGAGUAUAAAAAGCCAGCUUGGAGGAGAUCUGAAGUGUGUUGCUAUUUUCUCCUAGAUACAUUUUUCUACUUAAAUAUUUAAACAAAUCACCUUUUUAUGGCUUGUGGCAAUUUCAAACACUUAUUGCCUUUUAUGUAGGGCCUUUCAAAAAACUGCUCCUGCAUGGUGUUAUGCUCCUUUUGAACCAGAAGGAAUUUUAAGGUGUAUAUGGUCUCCAAAUCUUCUUAGUAGCUUGUUUUUGGGUUAGCAGAAAUCCCAAACAUGGUAUUAUAGACUCUAUUUUCUAGAUUUCAAUAAACUCUUUAUUUACCUUGGCUUUGUUUUCUUCAAUGUAGAUGCUAUCAUUUUAUGUGAUCCAAUUAUUGAAUUUUUUUUUGCAUUUUUACCAAGAAAACGAGUUGAGGACUCGCAUAUUCAAUCUUCUUUUGUUUGAUUGCUUGGUUAGAGCAUGCCAUGAAAUUUUUGCAUACAAUUUUGAAAGGCUUCCUUUUAAGGACUAUAAUAUGAUUAUGAAUUACGACCGGUGUAUAACUUGCUGUUGUUCCUUAGAGUGAUAUCAUAUGCAACUGCAGCUUAAUAUCUGCUAUUCUAUCCACAAUCAUCGGAUUGCAUUACGGACAUGUACUCAUACACUUUCAGGAUUAUCUUUCUAGAUUGAAGCAAUGUUGUACACACUAAGCUAUGUUUGCGUAACAUCUGGUGCUGCGACAUUAGCUUUUUCAGCCUUCUAUGUAAUGGGUGACUUAAAUGAUACUCUUGGACAAGAAUUUGGUGAAGAGUUCAAUUUUUAUGUUUUAGUUAGGUUGUGGGAGCAUUCCUAGUAUAGUUGUUGUAAGAGUUCCAAGUUUUAUUUUCCCUAAAGUGUAUCUUUACUCUAAUUUUGAGUAAUUUGUUUUGAGAAUUUGGAUGUAACUACUAUUUUCAAGAAUGUAGUUACUCUAUUAAAUUUAUAUGGAUAAAUUUUAUGUAUUUUAUUGAAUAAUAUAUGAUACUUAUG